CGCGUAGGCGGCCCGCUAAGUCGAACGUGAAAUCCCCGGGCUCAACCCGGGAACUGCGUCCGAUACUGGCAGGCUUGAAUUCGGGAGAGGGAUGCGGAAUUCCAGGUGUAGCGGUGAAAUGCGUAGAUAUCUGGAGGAACACCGGUGGCGAAGGCGGCAUCCUGGACCGAGAUUGACGCUGAGGCGCGAAAGCCAGGGGAGCAAACG
RNAcentral lists this ribosomal RNA (207 nucleotides) under uncultured bacterium. RNAcentral describes it as "partial 16S ribosomal RNA". It matches the Rfam family "Bacterial small subunit ribosomal RNA", at positions 568 to 774 of the family's 1533-position model. The record is from RNAcentral.